GCUCGGCAUCCGGGCCGGGCGCUGGGGAGGGAGGUACGCCUCUCCCCGGGCGGCCAGGAAGCGGGGACGUGGGAGCCAUACGAGCGGCGGGGGACUCACCUGCAGCAACACCGCUAGCAGGAAGCACAGCUUUGUUUCAUUCUAGACAUGUUUAUGGAAGAAGGGUUUAUUUGUCUAUCCAAUUUUCAAUCUUUUGUUUUUUCCUAGAAAUAACCAGUUCUUCAAAUGCUCUUAGAACCAGCUUUACCAUCCUACUGCUUCCUUCAUCAAUUAAAAUAAAAUCAUCGACAUGGGUUCAUUCUGUAUAGCAUCCUGGUGACCUGCAUGCCUUUUCCUCACCAUCUUCUUCCCAUGGUCAAGACAUGAGACAGGUCCAUUGAGGAUAAAAUGAAGAACUAAAGAUGAAGGAAGAAAUACCUGCUGUAUGUAUCUUCCGGAGUUGCUGCAUGUGCUACCUGAGACUCUAUGUAAACACACUUUUUAGUUCUGCUUCCUUUGUAGAGAUUUCUGAUCUUCUAGAUGAGAUUCAUUUACUUUUAUCUAGUCCCCGAGUCACCAGUUGCAUACAUACACAGACCGGCUGGGAUUAGUGGUGUGGUCUGUGAGGGUGAAAUUGAGUGAGAAGAACCAUAAAAGGCCCCAAAUCUGUGGCUCUGACUUCAUUAACCAGGCACAGUAUUCAUCAAUGCGAUCCAUCUUCAGCCAAAUGCAGCUUUCUGCCCUUUUGCCGGCUUAGCCCUGCUAUCAGCAGCUGGGGGGCCUGCCAAAGGGCAGGGGGAGGGAGCCGCAGGUUGCCCACACUGCAGAUGAUCUCAGGAAUAUUCAAGAAGGACUGUAAAACAAAACCCCCAGUCUUGUCAUUUUACUUCAAAAAGCAAAAAAAUCUCCCAGAUAAUAAGCAUUUUGCUCUAAUAAGAACUGUAGGAUUGAUUAGGUUCAAACUGUUAGCAGACAUCCUUCUGGUUAAUGAAGCAGCAUUGAAAAUGCCUCUUGAUUCUUUGGGAACUUAAAUCAUACAAAGGCAGCAAGGAGCAAGAAGAGAACUGGAGGUGGGGUAGACUAAACUGUCUGCUAGUUACAAACGUACUCAAGAUAAUGAACAAAAAAUGUUUGUUCUUUGAAAAGCUAAUAUUUAUUGACAGUCAUCUCUG
Non-coding RNA from Kogia breviceps (pygmy sperm whale), 1151 nucleotides. NCBI's taxonomy places the organism in Eukaryota, Metazoa, Chordata, Mammalia, Artiodactyla, Physeteridae. The record is from RefSeq and is a predicted model, not a curated record.